This 805-nucleotide ribosomal RNA is filed under the name uncultured Pelagibacteraceae bacterium. RNAcentral's name for it is "bacterial SSU rRNA". It matches the Rfam family "Bacterial small subunit ribosomal RNA", at positions 35 to 887 of the family's 1533-position model. The record is from RNAcentral. Lineage: Bacteria; Pseudomonadati; Pseudomonadota; Alphaproteobacteria; Candidatus Pelagibacterales; Candidatus Pelagibacteraceae.
GCUGGCGGCACGCCUUAUACAUGCAAGUCGAACGCAGUAGCAAUACUGAGUGGCAGACGGGUGAGUAUAAUGUGGGAAUCUGCCUUUUGGUUUGGAAUAACUCGGGGAAACUUGAGCUAAUACCGGAUAAGCCCUUACGGGGAAAGCUUUAUGCGCCGAAAGAUGAGCCCGCACUUGAUUAGCUCGUUGGUGAGGUAAUGGCUCACCAAGGCAACAAUCAAUAGCUGUUCUUAGAGGAAGACCAGCCACAUUGGGACUGAGACACGGCCCAGACUCCUACGGGAGGCAGCAGUAAGGAAUCUUGCACAAUGGGGGAAACCCUGAUGCAGCGAUGCCGCGUGAGUGAAGAAGGCCUUUGGGUUGUAAAACUCUUUCGUUGGGGAAGAAAAUGACUGUACCCAAAUAAGAAGGUCCGGCUAACUUCGUGCCAGCAGCCGCGGUAAUACGAAGGGACCUAGCGUAGUUCGGAAUUACUGGGCUUAAAGAGCUCGUAGGUGGUUAAAAAAGUUGAUGGUGAAAUCCCAAGGCUCAACCUUGGAACUGCCAUCAAAACUGUUUAGCUAGAGUGUGAUAGAGGAAAGUGGAAUUUCUAGUGUAGAGGUGAAAUUCGUAGAUAUUAGAAAGAACACCAAAAGCGAAGGCAACUUUCUGGAUCACUACUGACACUGAGGAGCGAAAGCAUGGGUAGCGAAGAGGAUUAGAUACCCUCGUAGUCCAUGCUGUAAACGAUGUGUGCUAGACGUUGGAAAUUUAUUUUUCAGUGUCGCAGCAAAAGCGUUAAGCACACCGCCUGGGGAGUACGACC